Molecule: long non-coding RNA, 793 nt
Filed under: Nicotiana benthamiana
Lineage: Eukaryota; Viridiplantae; Streptophyta; Magnoliopsida; Solanales; Solanaceae
Description: long non-coding RNA (NBEN_LNC025038)
Source: RNAcentral
UUUCGCCAUUUUUUGGACAUUUACGAAGAAAAAGAAAAAAAGAAGAACAAUGAAAAUCAGAAGACCAGAACAUACCUGUUGAAGUCUUGAGAAGAAGAAGUCGCUGCUGUUGAAGAAGAAAAAGAAAAACCCUUGUUGAUGCUUUGAGAUUUUUUCAGAAAUCAAAGUACAUGAAGAAGAGUAAGAAGUCGCUGCUGUUGGAUGUUGAAGUACCCUAGUCGCUGCUGUUGAAGAAGUCCAGACCAGUGUUUAAUCCAAAAACCUCGUUUUUUAUAAAAUAGGGUUUGGGUAUUUUAAAACAGAGAAGCAGACGCUUCUGUCUCUUCAGCUCGCUUUACCACUUCUCCCUUUUUUACUGAGAAGCUGUCGCUUUUCCUGACUUGAGUCGCUUCAACAGGCUGAAGCGCUGCCCUUCGCACUUCGCAUCGCUUCUCGCUUAAAGCGAGGAAACGAGCGCUUCUUUAAUCACUGGUUACAACUAGUGAAUAAUGUUACAUAGAUUCUUUUUUCCCAUUAUAUUAUGUGCUUAGCUACGUUGAUUUCAAAAGAUGUUUAGGUCUUUUGGAAUCACCUUGCUCUUUGUGAUUUUAGGUCGAUCUUGUCCUGUUUUAACACUGUCAAUAAUAUCGUUGUCCUUAACCCGUACAUCUAGAGGUUAGACAUGGACUAACUCAGGCAACCUUCUCAUAUUUUAUCUUCUAUGUGUACUACUUGCACCAUGUGUCUGCUGUGAUUAUCUCUAGUCGUCCAAUCUUGUAUGAUCGUAUGUUCAUUUUAUUAUCUACAGUUCUAC